Molecule: ribosomal RNA, 497 nt
Filed under: uncultured bacterium
Lineage: Bacteria
Description: partial 16S ribosomal RNA
Rfam family: Bacterial small subunit ribosomal RNA
Source: RNAcentral
GAUGAACGCUGGCGGCGUGCCUAAUACAUGCAAGUCGAGCGAACGGACGAGAAGCUUGCUUCUCUGAUGUUAGCGGCGGACGGGUAAGUAACACGUGUAUAACCUACCUAUAAGACUGGGAUAACUUCGGGAAACCGGAUCUAAUACCGGAUAAUAUUUUGAACCGCAUGGUUCAAAAGUGAAAGACGGUCUUGCUGUCACUUAUAGAUGGAUCCGCGCUGCAUUAGCUAGUUGGUAAGGUAACGGCUUACCAAGGCAACGAUGCAUAGCCGACCUGAGAGGGUGAUCGGCCACACUGGAACUGAGACACGGUCAAGACUCCUACGGGAGGCAGCAGUAGGGAAUCUUCCGCAAUGGGCGAAAGCCUGACGGAGCAACGCCGCGUGAGUGAUGAAGGUCUUCGGAUCGUAAAGCUCUGUUAUUAGGGAAGAACAUAUGUGUAAGUAACUGUGCACAUCUUGACGGUACCUAAUCAGAAAGCCACGGCUAACUACGUG